This 26-nucleotide non-coding RNA is filed under the name Homo sapiens (human). The record is from RNAcentral. Lineage: Eukaryota; Metazoa; Chordata; Mammalia; Primates; Hominidae.
UGGUGGUAGACCCCUGGGGAACAGUG